RNAcentral lists this ribosomal RNA (440 nucleotides) under uncultured bacterium. Its description in RNAcentral is "partial 16S ribosomal RNA". It matches the Rfam family "Bacterial small subunit ribosomal RNA", at positions 338 to 795 of the family's 1533-position model. The record is from RNAcentral.
CCUACGGGUGGCAGCAGUGGGGAAUAUUGCACAAUGGGGGAAACCCUGAUGCAGCGACGCCGCGUGAGUGAAGAAGUAUUUCGGUAUGUAAAGCUCUAUCAGCAGGGAAGAAAAUGACGGUACCUGACUAAGAAGCCGCGGCUAACUACGUGCCAGCAGCCGCGGUAAUACGUCGGGGGCAAGCGUUAUCCGGAUUUACUGGGUGUAAAGGGAGCGUAGACGGCGCGGCAAGUCUGAAGUGAAAGGCAGGGGCUUAACCCCUGAACUGGUUUUGAAACUGCCAUGCUAGAGUGCUGGAGAGGUAAGUGGAAUUCCUAGUGUAGCGGUGAAAUGCGUAGAUAUUAGGAGGAACACCGGUGGCGAAGGCGGCCUGCUGGACUGUGACUGACGUUGAGGCCCGAAGGCGUGGGGAGCAAACAGGAUUAGAUACCCCAGUAGUC